ACUCAAAUGAAUUGACGGGGGCCCGCACAAGCGGCGGAGCAUGUGGCUUAAUUCGAUGCAACGCGAAGAACCUUACCUGGGCUUGACAUGCGGGGCGAAGCCUAUGAAAGUAGGUGCUCCUUCGGGAGCCCGCACAGGUGCUGCAUGGCUGUCGUCAGCUCGUGCCGUGAGGUGUUGCCUUAAGUGGCGCAACGAGCGCAACCCCUGUCCCAUGUUGCCAGCGGAUCAUGCCGGGGACUCAUGGGAGACUGCCGGUGCCAAACCGGAGGAAGGUGGGGAUGAGGUCAAGUCAUCAUGGCCCUUAUGCCCAGGGCUGCACACAUGCUACAAUGCGCGGUACAAAGGGCUGCUAUCCCGCAAGGGUGAGCGAAUCCCAAAAAGCCGCGCUCAGUUCGGAUCGAGGUCUGCAACCCGACCUCGUGAAGCUGGAGUCGCUAGUAAUCGCAGAUCAGCAAUGCUGCGGUGAAUACGUUCCCGGGCCUUGUACACACCGCCCGU
This 498-nucleotide ribosomal RNA is filed under the name uncultured bacterium. RNAcentral describes it as "partial 16S ribosomal RNA". It matches the Rfam family "Bacterial small subunit ribosomal RNA", at positions 899 to 1397 of the family's 1533-position model. The record is from RNAcentral.